AGUAACACGUGGAUAACCUACCUAUAAGACUGGGAUAACUUAGGGAAACCGGAGCUAAUACCGGAUAAUAUUUUGAACCGCAUGGUUCAAAAGUGAAAGACGGUCUUGCUGUCACUUAUAGAUGGAUCCGCGCUGCAUUAGCUAGUUGGUAAGGUAACGGCUUACCAAGGCAACGAUGCAUAGCCGACCUGAGAGGGUGAUCGGCCACACUGGAACUGAGACACGGUCCAG
Molecule: ribosomal RNA, 231 nt
Filed under: uncultured Staphylococcus sp.
Lineage: Bacteria; Bacillati; Bacillota; Bacilli; Caryophanales; Staphylococcaceae
Description: partial 16S ribosomal RNA
Rfam family: Bacterial small subunit ribosomal RNA
Source: RNAcentral